This 2539-nucleotide long non-coding RNA is filed under the name Heterocephalus glaber (naked mole-rat). Its description in RNAcentral is "lncRNA (ENSHGLG00000028138.2)". The record is from RNAcentral. Lineage: Eukaryota; Metazoa; Chordata; Mammalia; Rodentia; Bathyergidae.
UGAGAUGUGAGUUCCAAAGGGCUUGGGCAGCCCUGUCUCUGUGGCCUUGCUGGUUGCAGCCCACAUAUCCACUCUCUUAGGCUGACUCUUCCUGUGGCCUGUAGCUUUCCUCAACAGAUAUUUCAAGUUCCUGGCGUCUCCUACUUCCUGAAAUGUUCACUGAAUCUUCAGCUUCAUUCCCACAGUUUCAUGCACUACUCUCACAAGAGCUCCUUUCCUGGCCUCCCAGGCCUUCCUUUGAGGUGGAAGCAUGCAUGACACUACAAUUCAUGCAUUCUACAUGCCUGAACAACCAGCAUCACAUGGACAAUGCUAAGGUCUGCCACCAGCUCAAGCAGUAGCCAGGCCCUCUUGUAUCAUGGCUGCAGUGUCCACUGAGUGCCUAUAUGAUGUUUUGGCAGCCGUGGGGCCUCUUUUUCUCCUCCCUUUCAACUUGCCUCAUGCUCGAAGCCACUGGGGAGACCCAAAGCCCUGCAGAGCAUCCCGGAAUGCAAAGCAUUUGCAAUGAGUCACAGCUGCCAGGAGCCAGCCAGGACUGCUUCACUAGGAGCAGGCGGGAGAGGGCUGCCGGCACUCACAGCUGCAGAGCUGGGGUCACAGGCUGGACCCAGGAAAGAGCAGCAGCAGCACAGCCCCGAAGGAGCAAAGAGCACGACGAGAGAACAGCCGCAGGGCAACUGCUGCCCCACUUGCUAGGUGCCUGGCUGUCGACUCUGUUGUCCGUCCAGUCUCUAAACACUAAAACUUUUCCCAAGAAAAACAGCCUUCUGGGUUAUAGAGGAUUGCAAGUUGGCGUUUGAAAAAUAAUGCCUGGCAGUCUUCUAACCAACAAUCAUUAAGGGCUGAGCCCAGAGAGCUUUGUAACCCACUAUUUUAAAAUGAGUUGGAAAAAUGCGGUGGAUGUUCUCUUUUAUGCCAACACAGGGGGCAUUCUCUGGCGCUCUCUAUUGGCAUUUGCUGUUCUUUCUCUCUGCCUGAAAGUACAUCCUUCUUUUAAGUCCUGGAGAGAGACUUUGGGUGCCAAACAUUGCCUCUUUCUACUUUUUUUUGGUUAACAAAUUAUGAACAAAGGAUGCAUUGAUCAUAUUUGCCCCAAAUAUUAAAAAAAAACUAUAGAAUAAGAAGAAAGUAUCCAUCUCACUCUUGGCCACCCCAGCCAUUCAGUUCUCCAUUCUGGAAGUGAGCACUGUUACUUGUUUCUUGUCUAUUUUUCCAGAAAUAUCCUUUGCAUGUACAAGCAUGUCUGUUGUGUAAGUUUUUGGUGCAUAUAGAAUGUAUCACAAAAUGUUCCCCUCUCUGCAUUUUUAAAAACUUUGGCACUAGUUUUGUGUCAGUACAAAUAGAACCCUUAAUUUGUUCAUUUAAACUAGAUGUUUAAACAGAACUCUAUUUCUAUACAUGUUGGUUAUUUUCAAUAUUUUCCUGUUUAAAAACUGUGCUUCUGUGAAUAUUUUUUAACAUAUAAAAUAUAGCUACAUUUGGGUCGGGGAUUUAGCUCAAUGGUUCCGCCGCCUGCCUUGCAAGCACAAGGUCAUGUGUUCGAUCCCCGGUACCAAAAAAUAUAUAUAUAUAGCUACAUUUAUGUGUAGCUAUAGAUAUAGAUUAAAUUUCAAGAGGUGGGAUUGCUAUGCCAUAUUUGAUUUUGGGGGGGGGCACCGGGGAUCGAACUUGGGUCCUUGCGCUUGCGCAGCAGGCGACGAAACCACUGAGCUAAAUCCCCAGCCCUAUAUUUGAUAUUUUGAUAGAUAUUUUGUUACAUUGCCCUCUGUAGAGGCAAUACUCACAUGCAUGCAUGUCUGUUUUCCUCAUUCCUUACCACAGAGUAUGCUAACAUUUUUACAUUUGCCAAUUGAUAGAUUUAAAAAUGGUGUCUCACUGUACUUUUAAUUUGGUUUCUUAUUAUAAGGCUAAGCGUCUUUAUCUGAUACUUGCAUUAUGUGUUCUCUGAAAUCUGUUCUCUGCCAUUUUUAAUUGCAUUGUUGUCUUGAUCGCUUCAACUCUGUAUAUUAAAGAAAACAGCUUUUUGUCAGUGUAUACACAGGAAUUCUUUUUCCAGUUUUUUUUCAUACUUUCCAUGUUAAUUUCAUACAGAAGUCUUUUUAGUUUUGUGUUGUUGAAUUUGCCUUUUCAUUCUUGGUGUAAGAACUUUCCUUUCAUUCUCUGAAAGUUUCAUAAAUUGAGUAUAUUAAAUAAACUGACAGUAGAGAUACCAGCAGGAGAAAAGACUUAUAACUGUAUCAUGUUUGUGAAGAAUCACAAGAAAAAAAAAAAGCCAGUUUCCAACAACCUGAGAUUGAGAAGCCUGUACCAGAUGUGAUAAAAAAAAACUAUACAACCCACUUUCUGGUCCCCCUUCUGUCUCUCUUAGGCAGAAGCUUUCUUUCUCCCAAUAAAAUUUUCCUACUCUUAAAAAAAAAACAACUGUAAUUUGUGUUUAAAUCUUAAAAAUUAUAUAGAGGUGUCACUUGUGUGUCUGUUUUUCUCUGACGUGUAGGCUAAGCCUUAAUGGACAGGUGCAAAAAAUAAAUCCUCUUUUGCA